AUACCUUUCUCGACCUUUCAACUUAGGUUAUGUGUAGUAUUUGUUCUUAUCAGUUUAAUAUAUGAUAUGUGAGUCAUCGACUCACACGAUAUAAACUCUGUUUUUCGAGGGGGAUGGUCCAUCAUGGUAGCUUGACUCACACGAUAUUAACUCUAUUUUUUAGGGGGAAGGCCCACCAAGUAGCUUGCUAUUGGGGCGUUCAUGGCACUCAAA
This 213-nucleotide small nuclear RNA is filed under the name Solanum lycopersicum (tomato). Its description in RNAcentral is "U2 spliceosomal RNA". It matches the Rfam family "U2 spliceosomal RNA", at positions 1 to 158 of the family's 192-position model. Rfam says of the family: U2 is a small nuclear RNA (snRNA) component of the spliceosome (involved in pre-mRNA splicing). Complementary binding between U2 snRNA (in an area lying towards the 5' end but 3' to hairpin I) and the branchpoint sequence (BPS) of the intron results the bulging out of an unpaired adenosine, on the BPS, which initiates a nucleophilic attack at the intronic 5' splice site, thus starting the first of two transesterification reactions that mediate splicing. The record is from Rfam by way of RNAcentral. Lineage: Eukaryota; Viridiplantae; Streptophyta; Magnoliopsida; Solanales; Solanaceae.